CCCAUACGACCGUACCGCAAACCGACACUGGUGCGCGAGAUGAGUAUUCUAAGGCGCUUGAGAGAACUCAGGAGAAGGAACUCGGCAAAUUGACACCGUAACUUCGGAAGAAGGUGUGCCCUAUUAGUGUGUAGUGAACAACGAAGCAUGAAUGGGUUGCAAAAAAUCGGUGGCUGCGACUGUUUAUUAAAAACACAGCACUCUGCAAACACGAAAGUGGACGUAUAGGGUGUGACGCCUGCCCGGUGCUGGAAGAUUAAAUGAUGGGGUGCAAGCUCUUGAUUGAAGUCCCAGUAAACGGCGGCCGUAACGAUAACGGUCCUAAGGUAGCGAAAUUCCUUGUCGGGUAAGUUCCGACCUGCACGAAUGGCGUAACGAUGGCCACACUGUCUCCUCCUGAGACUCAGCGAAGUUGAAAUGUUUGUGAUGAUGCAAUCUCCCCGCGGAAAGACGGAAAGACCCCAUGAACCUUUACUGUAGCUUUGUAUUGGACUUUGAACAGUUCUGUGUAGGAUAGGUGGGAGGCUUUGAAGCAGGGUCGCUAGAUCUUGUGGAGCCAACGUUGAAAUACCACCCUGGUGUGUUUGAGGUUCUAACCUAGGUCCAUUAUCUGGAUCGGGGACAGUGCAUGGUAGGCAGUUUGACUGGGGCGGUCUCCUCCCAAAGCGUAACGGAGGAGUUCGAAGGUACGCUAGUUACGGUCGGACAUCGUGACGAUAGUGCAAUGGCAUAAGCGUGCUUAACUGCGAGACUGACAAGUCGAGCAGAUGCGAAAGCAGGACAUAGUGAUCCGGUGGUUCUGUAUGGAAGGGCCAUCGCUCAACGGAUAAAAGGUACUCUGGGGAUAACAGGCUGAUACCGCCCAAGAGUUCAUAUCGACGGCGGUGUUUUGGCACCUCGAUGUCGGCUCAUCUCAUCCUGGGGCUGUAGCCGGUCCCAAGGGUAUGGCUGUUCGCCAUUUAAAGAGGUACGUGAGCUGGGUUUAAAACGUCGUGAGACAGUUUGGUCCCUAUCUUCCGUGGGCGCUGCAGAUUUGAGGAAGCCUGCUCCUAGUACGAGAGGACCGGAGUGGACACACCUCUGGUGUAUCGGUUGUCACGCCAGUGGCAUUGCCGAGUAGCUAAGUGUGGAAGAGAUAACCGCUGAAAGCAUCUAAGCGGGAAACUCGUUUCAAGAUGAGAUCUGCCGGGGCCUUGAGCCCCCUAAAGAGUCGUUCAAGACCAGGACGUUGAUAGGUCAGGUGUGGAAGC
This 1250-nucleotide ribosomal RNA is filed under the name metagenome. RNAcentral describes it as "bacterial LSU rRNA". It matches the Rfam family "Bacterial large subunit ribosomal RNA", at positions 1633 to 2874 of the family's 2925-position model. The record is from RNAcentral.